GAGGGGUAACAAAAACAGAGUGAGUCGGUCUAAUGUACAUAGUAUAUUAGUAUGGAUGUAUGUAUAUAGUUUAUGAAAUAGCAAAAAGGAUUCAAAUUAUUUUUGGAUAUUUAAUUCAAAACCCCAUUAUACAUGUAAAAUUUUCAUGAGUUAGAGAUAUAAUGCUUUGAAUGAAUUUGUAGUUAUGUUUUCAAACAAUUACCUUAAACCAACCAUAAAUUGUGGGUGCCACAAAGAAGCCUCCAUAUAGACUAAAACGCAGAACGCGCCACCAAUCGUAAUUUCCUUAAAAAAUAAUUCGGUAAAGAGCUUUAUAACGAAACUUUCAUUUAAUUUUAAAUUUACCCCAUCGUUUUCCCUCAAACGUUUGUUGAAUUAAACUGCUUGUUGGCCAUAUGAAACUGUAGGAAAUCAUACCCCUCACAAUCGGAUAUUUCGUUAUUAAUACUUUGAAUUUCUGUAGGAGCAUAGACAUUUUACUACUUUUUUGUUGUGCUAAAAUAAGGAAAUUGUUUUUGUUUUUCAUGAGAACCCUUAUGAAUUUUAAAAAGCACAAGCGGUUACAAACGUUGACCUUGAUUAGACGUUUGAAUGCAAAAGGGCGGGUAGAAAAGUUUAGCUAUACUCAUAUUAUCAAACCUUCAGUGAAAACGGUACCUACAUAUUUACGUGUUUAUGUAUGUACAUACAUAUGUAGGGUAUGUAUUGUUUGGUGUUAACAAUUUGUAUCUUGAAACCUAAUUUCGCAAAUGUAAAGGCUUUUUAUAAAAACCUUUGGUAAACUGUAACACAUUAUCAGAACGGUCGUGAAUUUCUAACUGGGAGCGUAAUGGAAAUUAAACAAUGCUUUUUACUGGCGCUUUUUGUAUGGGCUUUUGAAUAUUCCGAGGGUUUCGAUAGUAAAAUUGUAAAUGGUUCGAUGGCUUUGCCUGGCGAAUUUCCAUUUAUGGUAUCACUGAGACAUGCAUCUUCAGGUCGUCACUCCUGUGGUGCGUCUCUCUUGAACCGCGUUUGGGUUUUAACUGCUGCCCAUUGUGUGGUUAAAUCAAAUCCGAAACAAAUAAAUAUUCAGUACGGUAGCAUUGAAUUGGAUCAGAAUUCAACGGAUCUGGCAAAUGUAUCAAAAAUAUUUGUCCACGAAGGCUAUAACCCAGCCAAUCAAUAUAUACAUGACAUUGCUUUGUUGAGAUUGGAAAAGCCGGCCACUGUAGAAAAAGAUUUUGUCGGCGUUCGAUUGCCAGAAUUGAAUGCCUCCACUGACAAUCAAACACCAGUUACGUUAAUCGGCUGGGGCUUAAACGCGACGGGAGGAGUAGUACAGCAGUUAUUGCAAAAAGUCGAUUUGGAAAUAUUUGACGAUGACGAAUGCAGUAAAAGGCAUGGUGUACAGAUGCAUUCGACAACUAUUUGUGCCGGUGUGCCAGAGGGCGGCAAAGGACAAUGCAGUGGUGAUUCUGGUGGUCCUUUACUAUUGAAUGGUACUCAAGUUGGAAUUGUUUCGUGGUCUCGUAAACCUUGCACAAGACCUCCAUAUCCAGGAGUUUUUACUGAAGUAUCCGCAUACGUUGGAUGGAUUUUGGAAACAAUUCUUGACGCUGAAGACGAUGAAGAAGACAAUACCGAAGGACUCGAGCAAAUAUUAAGUGGAAAUUUAAUAAUAGUAUCACUGCGUUUAAAAAAAUCCAAAAAACACUUUUGUGCUGGAACCAUCAUAAAGAACAAUUUGAUUUUAACAGCUGCACACUGUUUUACUUACGUUAAAAAGGCCGAAGAGUUCCUGAUUCAGUACAACUCCACUCUUCUCAAUCCUAUACAGCCACAAUAUGCAGUUGCAUUGGAUAUAAUAAAACACGAGGGAUAUAAUCCAACCAUCGCAAUACAUGAUAUAGCACUAGUCAGACUGAAAGAAUCUAUCAGCUUAUCUACGAAUUUAUAUAAAGUAAAAUUGGCCGAUGAUUACAACGCGAGCUUUGAAAAUAUCACUGGAACCUUGGUAGGAUGGGGUUUAAAUGAGACCAAUGGCGCACUUGCAGUUGAAUUAGAAAAGGUAAACUUGGAAAUAGUCGCGUUAGAAGAAUGUCGCAAUCAACUGAAAUCUAUCAUUCACAUUUCAAAUCUGUGUGCUGGAGGAGUUGAGAACGGUCAAUGUUCCGGAGAUUCUGGAGGACCAUUAUUGUAUGCAAAUAGGCAGAUUGGUAUAGUUUCAUGGAGCUUCAAACCCUGCGCUUCAAAGCCGGGUAUUUUUACUAAUUUAUCGUAUUAUACUCAAUGGAUACAGGAAAAAGUUAAAUCAAAAACGAUUUGACUUAAACAAACCUUUUAGAAUACCUAAGAAACCAAAGAACAACAGGAGGUAAUUAAUUUUAAAUUAAAGGAUGAAACCGAAACUCUUUCAGAACGCCCAAACAUACUACAAAAAUUCCUACUAAUUACUGAU
Molecule: RNA transcript, 2437 nt
Organism: Lucilia cuprina (Australian sheep blowfly)
Lineage: Eukaryota; Metazoa; Arthropoda; Insecta; Diptera; Calliphoridae
Gene name: serine protease 46
Exons: 7
Source: RefSeq, a predicted model, not a curated record